ACUCCUACGGGAGGCAGCAGUGGGGAAUAUUGCACAAUGGGGGAAACCCUGAUGCAGCCAUGCCGCGUGUGUGAAGAAGGCCUUCGGGUUGUAAAGCACUUUCAGCGAGGAGGAAAGGGUGUAAGUUAAUACCUUACAUCUGUGACGUUACUCGCAGAAGAAGCACCGGCUAACUCCGUGCCAGCAGCCGCGGUAAUACGGAGGGUGCGAGCGUUAAUCGGAAUUACUGGGCGUAAAGCGUGCGCAGGCGGUUUGUUAAGCGAGAUGUGAAAGCCCCGGGCUCAACCUGGGAACCGCAUUUCGAACUGGCAAACUAGAGUCUUGUAGAGGGGGGUAGAAUUCCAGGUGUAGCGGUGAAAUGCGUAGAGAUCUGGAGGAAUACCGGUGGCGAAGGCGGCCCCCUGGACAAAGACUGACGCUCAGGCACGAAAGCGUGGGGAGCAAACAGGAUUAGAUACCCUGGUAGACAU
RNAcentral lists this ribosomal RNA (470 nucleotides) under uncultured bacterium. RNAcentral describes it as "bacterial SSU rRNA". It matches the Rfam family "Bacterial small subunit ribosomal RNA", at positions 335 to 797 of the family's 1533-position model. The record is from RNAcentral.